AAGGCUAACGGAGGUCCGAUCAGCUAGGCUAGGCAAACAGCUGGUGGAGCUCUCGGGGACUGAGAUCAGAAAGCUGUGUCUAGCUUCUAAGGACAUCUUUCUUCAACAGCCUAAUUUGCUUGAGAUCAAACCUCCCAUCAAGAUUUGCGGGGACAUUCAUGGCCAAUAUUGUGAUUUAUUAGGGCUUUUUGAGCGUGGUGGUUAUCCCCCUGAAGCCAAUUACUUAUUUUUAGGGAGCUAUGUUGACCAUGGGAAGCAAAGUUUGGAGACAAUAUGCCUUUUGCUUGCUUAUAAGAUCAAAUAUCCAGAGAACUUCUUUCUUCUGAGAGGAAACCAUGAAUGUGCUUAUAUCAAUCGGUUAUAUGGAUUUUAUGAUGAAUGUAAA
RNAcentral lists this unclassified non-coding RNA (385 nucleotides) under Hevea brasiliensis (rubber tree). Lineage: Eukaryota; Viridiplantae; Streptophyta; Magnoliopsida; Malpighiales; Euphorbiaceae. The record is from RNAcentral.